RNAcentral lists this ribosomal RNA (435 nucleotides) under uncultured bacterium. RNAcentral describes it as "partial 16S ribosomal RNA". It matches the Rfam family "Bacterial small subunit ribosomal RNA", at positions 29 to 507 of the family's 1533-position model. The record is from RNAcentral.
AGCGAACGCUGGCGGCAGGCUUAACACAUGCAAGUCGAACGGGCUUAUUCGGAAGUCAGUGGCAGACGGGUGGGUAACGCGUGGGAACGUGCCCUUCGGUUCGGAAUAACUCAGGGAAACUUGAGCUAAUAGCGGAACCGCCCCUUUUGGGACAGGUUUCCUGCGGAAGGAACGGCCCGCGUCUGGUACGCUUGUUGGUUGGGUAACGGCCUACCAAAGUGACGAUUUGUAGCGGGUAUGUGAGGAUGAUCCGCCACACUGACACUGUGACACGGCGGGGACUCCUACGGGAUGCAGCAGUGGGUAAUAUUGGACAAUGGGCUCAAGCCAGAUCCAGCCAUGCCGGGUGAGUGAUGAAGGCCUUAGAGUUAUAAAGCACUUUUGUCCGGGACGAUAAUGACGGUACCGAAAGAAUAAGCCCCGGCUAACUUCGUG